Molecule: ribosomal RNA, 253 nt
Filed under: uncultured bacterium
Lineage: Bacteria
Description: partial 16S ribosomal RNA
Rfam family: Bacterial small subunit ribosomal RNA
Source: RNAcentral
UACGUAGGGUGCGAGCGUUAAUCGGAAUUACUGGGCGUAAAGUGUGCGCAGGCGGCAGAGCAAGUCGAGUGUGAAAGCCCCGGGCUUAACCUGGGAACUGCAUUCGAGACUGCAUUGCUAGAGUAUGGGAGAGGGAAGUGGAAUUUCAGGUGUAGCGGUGAAAUGCGUAGAUAUCUGAAGGAACAUCAGUGGCGAAAGCGACUUCCUGGACCAAUACUGACGCUCAUGUGCGAAAGCGUGGGGAGCAAACAGG